Long non-coding RNA from Lycium barbarum (goji berry), 4029 nucleotides. RefSeq lists it as uncharacterized. The record is from RefSeq and is a predicted model, not a curated record. The transcript is spliced from 5 exons. Lineage: Eukaryota; Viridiplantae; Streptophyta; Magnoliopsida; Solanales; Solanaceae.
CAAUCAGUAGGAAAAUAUCAGUAGCUUCACUAGCUAGUACCUUUAGCUGUCUAUUGGGUACAUAUUAUAGUGAAUUUUAGCCAAAUGAAUUGCGGGGUAUUAUAGUCAUUCAUCACGACAAUUGAUUAAUAUCUCCCUCUACAGAUCUGUUCUUCCCCAAUUUUCAAUGUAGCAACUCAAACCCUAGAUCAAUCACUAUGGCAUCUUCUUCUUUUGCCAGUGUUUCAGCACUAAAAUCAACUCAUUAUGUGAUGGUUGAAUCAGGGAGCAUUAAGCGGAUUGUUGGCCCAAUUCCUUUAUUAUGUAAUUCUCUUUUAUCAGGUUCCCAAGCUGUUGUGCGUAUAUAUGCUCAUUUACAGCAAGUGAAAUCCUUGCUAUGGAUGGAAAUUAAUGGUACUCGAAUGGUUGGUAUCUGGGGUAUGGGAGGAGUAGGAAAGACGAUAUUUGUAAGAGCCAUUUGGAUGGCUUCUCUGAUCAGGGCAUUCUGGUUGGUUUGGUAAUGGCAGUAGAAUUACCAUAACAACUAGAGACAGUCAUUUGAUAGGGAAGAAUGAAGAAGUCCAUGAACUGACUACACUUCGGUGUCUGCACAAAUAGCUUUGAGUGUAGCCAUGGAUUUUUUUAUAAGAGUUUUCAAUAAAUCUAGCAAGAAAUCUCGGUAGUAGAAGAUGAAAUAGUAGAAGAGGAGAAACUCAUUAAUGCAAAGGCUGGGUCUGUUCUGGGAGCAUUUGCCUAAAUAUGGUGCAAGAGAUCCGGAACCACAUUCACGGUCUGGAAGAGAGGAAGCUCCAAGCGAGUUGCAUGCCCCUGUUAAGGAGCAUCGACGCAAAAACUGAGUCAAAGUGAGAGGAGGUGACCCAAUUGGUCUGCUAUUAUUAUAGGCCCUCCACCACUGCUUGGCUAGCCCAAUCAUAUGAAAAGUGGUAUAAUGACUUUGUGGGAUUCUACCAAUUCCAAGUUGUGCAACGUCUUGUGACAAUUUAAAAUAAGCUACGGUGGAUUGGAGCCUAUAGAGCAAGAGAUAUUUCUAGAUAUAAUAUGUUUCUUUCGAGGGUAUGAUUCCUUGAGAGUUGUGGAUUUGAACCUACUAUCGGAUUAAGUAUCCUAAUUGAAAAAUCUCUUGUGUUCGUCUCUGAAGAAUAUACAAUUCAAAUGUAUGAUUUGAUACAAGAUAUGGGUAAAUAUGCAGUUAAUAUGAAAAAUGAUCCUGGAGGACAUAACAGACUAUGGCGCGUUGAAGAUUUGGAAGACGUGAUGAUCAACAGUACAGUAAGUGACUAAAGCAAUAGAGGCAAUCUGGAUUCGUUAUCCUCCAAACCUAUGUUUUAGCAAAGACACCAUGAAAAAUAUGAAAAGACAUGGUAUAUUACGCAUAGAUAAUGUGAUGAAUGUUUGAUCCAUGAUGGCUUAAUAGAUAAUGCGAUGGAUGUUAUGAGUUGCCAUGAUAGCUCUAUCGGUUAUUUGUCCAACAACUUGUGUUGGUUUGUCGGGGAUUGCUAUCCUUUGGGACCACUUUCAUCUAAUUUAAACCAAAAGACUUGGUUUGUCUUUGAUUCACACGGAGUUCACUACGUCAAUUGUGGAGACAAAUAAAGGUCUCAGUAAUUCCAAAUUUUAGAGCUCUUCAGAAGUUGACCUUUUUAUCUUACAUUAUAAGAAAAAAGUAAUUCCAAAUUGUAGAAUACUUACAACUUGGUCAGAGCAGGGCAGGCCCUCCUGGAACUAGUGCGACGCUUGUCACUACACUUUGCAAAGGCUGAUAACAACAUCCGUGCUGCAGCUCAUGGAUGCUAAGAUUACAACAUUACAGGAGUUUCUAAGCGAGAAAACUGUUUUGAGGGCACUACGUGUCGUGUGCUCAAGAUUUAAUUUGUCAAGAACCGCGAUUGCUCUGGGCAUUAUUGGACCUUUGUUGAUUAGGGUAAUUGCUUGACCAUCUCACGGAUCACUUUCGUCAGUUAAUUUUUUCUGUUGAUUUGAUCUUUUAUAACUUUUUUCCACUUCACCUGUUGAAAUAAGUUCUUGUUUCUCCUUUUUGGUUUUCAUUUCUUUUACCCUAUUAAAAGUCCACUCUAGUGCAACUCAUAUUUAUAUUGACUCCAUUCUCCCUUAGUAAUUCAUUUUGAGUCACCUCCAGAAUUCCAAAGGUAGAUUUUAUGACACCUGUAAGCAUAUUUAGACAAAGGACAAUUCCUUUUUACACUUGGAUGAAGCUUAGAACAUUUUUAGCUGCUCCAUUCAUUUUCACUGACAUUGAAUGCUGAAGGUUUAAAUGUCUUUUCAAUUCCCUGUCUUUUCAGUUGUUAGUGUGACAUAUUAACUGUCAUUACAUCUUUUGAGUGAAUUAUUGUGAAAGUAAUUAUUGUGACUGGUGCUUCUGUUAUUAUGCUAUUCACCCAGAUGUGUUUUACUUGCUUUUAAAGCUAUUUUCUUCACCGUGUAAGUUAAAACCCAAAUUAGUGGGGCGGGCAGGUCCUCCAAAUGUGCAUUUUUCAUGUCUGAUUGUAGACGGCAAAAUUGAGUGAAAUCAUAUUAAAGCUGCUAGACAUGUAUGAUUCAUCUUGGCGCUUAUAGGUGAAAAUGACAUUACUCAAUGAAGAAACUAAUUUUGUAUGAAACUUAAAUUAGAAGAAGAUACAAUUUUCGAGUGCACGUUAAAUUUGAAUUUAAUAACUAAACAUACUUACCUUCUCUUUUCUUCAUCUUGGUCUUUAAAGAAAUCUUCCAUCAUUUUUGCUGCUUUUCCCUCUCCCUUUCACUUCUUCAGUAGAUUGUUUUUAACUCAUCAUAUGUUUGAGUUCCAAGUAUUCUUAAUUAGAAAGGGGAAUAGUCAUUGAUCAAGGGUUUUCUUUUCCUUCUACACAAGGUUCAGGAUUUCUUUUAGAAGUAAUGCAACCUUAAAUAAUUUGUACCCUAUUUUGGUGGAUGUUUUCUUGUUUCAUUUUACCUUUUCUUCCCCAUUCUUUUGUUCAGGAGAUUGCUUUGUUAAGUUUGUUUCAACAUGAAAACAUAGCACAGUUUUUUUUUUUUUUUUUUUUUGUGAUAAGGAAAAACAUUGUGGUAUUAUGAUCAGGGGCGUAGCCACCUUGAAACAAGGGGUUUCAAAUGAUACCCCUUACUAUUUAAAAAAAAAAAAAACUUAUUAUACAUGUAUUUUACAAGCAAAAAAGAUGCAUGAUAAAUACAACAGUUGAAUCCCCUCGACUUGAAUAGAAGCGCCUAAUCUUAGCUUAUUUCUAUGAAAGUUGAAUCCCCUUACUGAAAAUUCUGGCUCUGCCACUGAUUUUGACACACAAGGACAUUCUUGCUUCUUGCAAUUCUAUUGCUUCCUCGAUUGUACUCCUUUUGCUCAUUUCAUUGGGAGUCCAGAUUUGUUGUUCAUCUGUCUCGUGAUUGCUUGUUCUGUUCUAUGCAAAUUGGAAGUUGUUUUACUUUACAGCAGGUGUCAUGUAUGCUGUUCAGACUGGAGAAUUCCCACCACUUUUUAGUAGAGUAGCUAGAGGCAUCUGGAGUAUGUUCGUAGACAUGUUUGGUCUGCAGUGGGUUAUGUGUUGCAGCUUGAGAAAAGCUUUCAUUAGCCGUAGUAUUGGAAAGUGGAGAAAAUCCAACAAUCUAAGACCAGAUUCAAUAGCAGCUCCUGCAGGACCUGCACGCAUUGCACUUUCUAACAUCUUGAGCUCGGUAUUGUAUAACUUCAAGUAGAUAGCAAAUCGCUGUCUAGCCGAAGCUGCAUUUUUUGGACCCUAUGGAGCUGAAACACCUAUCUAGACGAGUUGUCUUAUGAAUCUGCUUUCUGGUGUAAUUGCAGUGAUGUAAAUGUUAAUUGCUUUUGGGACUUUCUGUUCCAUGCUGCAUCUUUUGUACCUUAUGGAGAAAUAAGAACCAAAGAUGCUUUAAAUGGGGUUGCAACACCUAUCCCUACCAAAGCUUAGGUGUUUUAUGAAUCUGUUUUUCUUUUUGGUGUAAUUACUCUGUUGUAAUCACAUUUUGGACUUUAUUGAUUCUCUAAGUUUUAAGCACAUGACCAAA